Homarus americanus (American lobster) is the source of this 277-nucleotide long non-coding RNA. RefSeq lists it as uncharacterized. NCBI's taxonomy places the organism in Eukaryota, Metazoa, Arthropoda, Malacostraca, Decapoda, Nephropidae. The transcript is spliced from 3 exons. The record is from RefSeq and is a predicted model, not a curated record.
AGAUACAAAUCUGAGACAGUCAACUCGACGCCGGCGGAGCUGAAGGCGCAGGACUUCCAGGUGUGCAUUACGAUCAUCGAGGCGAGACAGCUGGCGGGGCUCAACAUGGACCCCGUGGUGUGUGUGCAGGUGGGCGACCAGAAGAAGUACACCUCGGUCAAGGAAUCCACCAACUGUCCCUAUUACAACGAGUACUUCGUGUUCGAUUUCCACAUGGCGCCAGCGAUGCUCUUCGAUAAGAUCAUUACUCUCACGGUAAGUUGAAGCUUGGUGUCCU